CCAUUCAAGGAAGGAGCAUGCGCGCAAUUACCCAAUCCUGACUCAGGGAGGUAGUGACAAGAAAUAACAAUAAACCGGCUUAUGCCGGUUUAAUUGGAAUGAGUACAAUUUAAACAUCUUAACGAGGAACAAUUGGAGGGCAAGUCUGGUGCCAGCAGCCGCGGUAAUUCCAGCUCCAAUAGCGUAUACUAAAGUUGUUGCAGUUAAAAAGCUCGUAGUUGGAUUUCUGUGGGGACGGAGCGGCCGGCCGCACAUCGCGGUUCGAGCUAGCGCUUUCCCUACAUCCUGCCGCGAACCGUGCUACCAUUAGUUUGGUGGCGCUGGGGAUCGGCUCGAUUACUUUGAGAAAAAUAGAGUGUUCAAAGCAGGCCACAUGCCUUGAAUAAGUUAGCAUGGAAUAAUAACUAAGGACUUCGGUUCUAUUUUGUUGGUGUUCGGGACUGAAGUAAUGAUUGAUAGGGACAGUUGGGGCGGUCUGUAUUCCAAAGCGAGAGGUGAAAUUCUUAGACCUUCGGAAGACAAACAGCUGCGAAAGCGUUCCGCAAGGAUGUUCCCUUUGAUCAAGAACGAAAGUUGGGGGAUCGAAGACGAUCAGAUACCGUCGUAGUCUCAACUAUAAACUAUACCAGCUAGGGAUCGGCCAACGUUAUUUUAUACCGACUUGGUCGGCACCUUAUGAGAAAUCAAAGCAUCUGGGUUCCGGGGGGAGUAUGGUCGCAAGGCUGAAACUUAAAGGAAUUGACGGAAGGGCACCACCAGCCGUGGAGCCUGUGGCUUAAUUUGACUCAACACGGGAAAACUUACCAGGUCCAGACAUAGUAAGGAUUGACAGAUUGAUAGCUCUUUCUUGAUUCUGUGGGUGGUGGUGCAUGGCCGUUCUUAGUUGGUGGAGUGAUUUGUCUGGUUAAUUCCGUUAACGAACGAGACCCCAGCCUGCUAAAUAGCGCGAGUGAGCUUUGCUCGCUGCGAGCUUCUUAGAGGGACUAUGAUGCGCGAUAGCACAUGGAAGUUUGGGGCAAUAACAGGUCUGUGAUGCCCUUAGAUGUUCUGGGCCGCACACGGGCUACACUGGCGCCUGCAACGAGCAUAUCAGCUGGCCCGAGAGGGUCUUGGCUAAUCUUUUGAACCGGCGCCGUGCUUGGGAUUGACCUUUGCAAUUGUUGGUCAUGCAACGAGGAAUGCCUUGUAAACGCGAGUCAUCAGCUCGCAUUGAAUACGUCCCUGCCCUUUGUACACACCGCCCGUCGCUCCUACCGAUGAAUGUUCCGAUGAAAUUUUCGGAGAGCACCUGUGAACUUGGCUCUGCCUUGCGAACGGGAGGCUCAAAGUCACAUAAAUCUGAACAUUGAGAG
Molecule: ribosomal RNA, 1352 nt
Filed under: uncultured marine eukaryote
Lineage: Eukaryota
Description: SSU rRNA
Rfam family: Eukaryotic small subunit ribosomal RNA
Source: RNAcentral